GAAGGGUCAACAUACUAGAUCUAAUCACCAUGAUUACAUAAAGCAUGCUAUGUGGUCUAAACUAUAGCAUUAGACUAAAGAACCAACAUAUUCAUGAAAGAUAGAAAGUAUAAAAGGAGGCAUUGAGUCGCUAAUAUAUCGGAUGACAUUAAGAACAUUGCUCACAUAAUAGAUGUAUUAGAUCAUCAUCUCCGAGUACAUACCAUUGACGAUCUACUACUGGCUCUCCUGAACUCCACCAUGGCGCAACCACGCAGGGGGCCCACGACGGCUAAGGUUUGGUCUAAGCCAUCUUCUAGACAACUCCGAAGACUUGCAGUGGCUGUCAUCUCCCUUUGGCAAAUGCCCUAGGUUUCGUUAAGUUCUCGUGGAUGGAUGCGCAUGCCGAUGGAGAAUCAUGAUAUUUAUAGUCUAGAGGUGCUUUGGGGCAAAGCGGAGGUCGAAUCGACCUAGAAAAGGACCACGCCGAUCGGCUUGCCCCCUACAGGCACAUAUACAGAACACAACACAUAUUCAAAAAUGGGAUUAUUUCAGGUACCAAGUGGUGGGUUAGUAUAAGAAUAGGUCCAAUUAGGCAUGAAAAUGGUCGGAAACGGUCAAUAACGAUAUCAUCUAUAUGAAAAUGAUUGUCAAUCGAUUGGGAAUUUUGCCGAUUUCACUAUUAAACUAUUUAGUGGCGACUACAAUAUGAUAAUAACAGAAAAUGAAAAAUCCAAAUUUAAAUACGGUAAUGAUCGGAAAUGAUAUCACUUAUACAAAAAAGAUUCGAAAAUGUGCCUCGGUAAACGAGAUUUUCGGUUACAGUUUUCAUCCCUAGGUCCAAUAAUACCACUUAAAUGGCACUCAAAGCAUGUCAAUAAUGAGCCCCACUAUUCCCCCAUGCAUAAACCUUGCUCGUCCUUGAGUAAGUCCAAGAUACUUGCUUAAUCAAGAAGUCAGCAUUACCCUUCGAUGUCAUCCCUGCACUCAGUUA
RNAcentral lists this long non-coding RNA (973 nucleotides) under Setaria viridis. RNAcentral's name for it is "long non-coding RNA (SVIR_LNC008780)". Lineage: Eukaryota; Viridiplantae; Streptophyta; Magnoliopsida; Poales; Poaceae. The record is from RNAcentral.